UUCAAGUGAAACUGUAACGAAUUCGCACCAAGUGCAGCGCCACAUUAUUCGAACGUGUUUGACGUUUGAAUGUUGCAACAAACUGCAGUCAAUUUUUUCUUUCAUUCAAAAUGGCUGACAGGCAACGAGAGAUGGAAAAUUUGCACCAAGAAGCCUCAAACGACGAAAUAAACUUGUCUGUGGAUCUAGUUAAUCUGCUCAACCUAUAUGGUGUAUAGUUUGCUGAUGCCUCGUCAGUAUAGGUUCAGCUUGGAAUCACAUCGGAUAUUGGCACAGAGACGCAAGUAAUAUCAGCGACGGAAGACGCAUUCUCCGAUGACCAGAACCCGGUUGACGAAUCCAGUCAGCUACAGAGUUACAGUGGAAAAUUUCAUCGAUACCGGUGAAUCAACGGAUGAGAGUCUCGUUGACGGCGAUUCCUCCGGAGUUAAUUCAACCCCUUUUGAUAAACUAAAUUAGUUAUACAUGCCA
Long non-coding RNA from Armigeres subalbatus, 471 nucleotides. RefSeq lists it as uncharacterized. The transcript is spliced from 3 exons. The record is from RefSeq and is a predicted model, not a curated record. NCBI's taxonomy places the organism in Eukaryota, Metazoa, Arthropoda, Insecta, Diptera, Culicidae.